UAACGCGCUUCUGUAGCUAUUUUUCUCAUUUCUGCCAGUCGUGGCUCUCACUGAGAUUCAAGGAGUUUCCUCCGAAGGUCCUCUAAAAACGGCGACUGCAAGACAUGCAGAUGACGAACGUAGCGUGAAUCAGUGCUCCUAGCAGAAUGGACGUGGACCCACCGCCGCCCCUUGGCACGGGCUCUAACCUGAAACGUUCGUCGAGUGCGCCCAUGAUCAAUGUCUUGGGAAACACGCCCACAUUCAGGGAGGCUCUCUCUCCACUGGUGCUAAGCAUCCCACGAACAAGACGCUUCAGCGCAAGCUUCAGUCCCAACCACUCCCCUUCG
Molecule: long non-coding RNA, 329 nt
Organism: Rhipicephalus sanguineus (brown dog tick)
Lineage: Eukaryota; Metazoa; Arthropoda; Arachnida; Ixodida; Ixodidae
Exons: 3
Source: RefSeq, a predicted model, not a curated record